This is a long non-coding RNA of Cyprinus carpio carpio, 1245 nucleotides long. NCBI's taxonomy places the organism in Eukaryota, Metazoa, Chordata, Actinopteri, Cypriniformes, Cyprinidae. The record is from Ensembl.
AAGUCUACUAUGGGGCAGAAUCACUUUAUCCAGUUUCAAAAUUAGAAACCGGAACACAUAUGCACCAUACAUUUUCUUUUUAGUUUAAAGGGUAAAAGACAUGCAAAGAAAGGAAAAUGUGGAGGAGGACUUCGUUCACAUGAGAUAGGCAGUCCUUUUGUCUGGGACGCAUGUGGGGAUUCUCCUCCCCUCAUUCGUUGGUCAGAUCGGAAGCUAAUUUUCACACCAUUGCCCCCCUUUUGCACCGUCCAUUUCCUAUAACGUUAGUCAACUUUCAUAUAGACUUUGAUAAUGAAUAAGUACUUUAUAGAAUCACUAAACUUAUACGUACAGCAUGUUUGUGGGGUUGCUUUAAAAUGCAUGUUAUUGGAAAGGAAUGCGACCCGUUGCUCCACCCGUCAGAGGGGGACGUUUUCUAUAGGAAAACAUUGUUUAUGUAGGCUAGUAUGCUUAUUGAGGGUGGCAUAUGUCGGUUUGACGAAAAAUAUCUGCGGGUUUUCAUUAAAAGCACCAGGAUAAUUUGCUGUUUAUGUAGAAUUAGGAACCCAGACGAUAACACACAUACGUUUUAAAAAUAGCCUAUAUAUUAUAUACAAACAAAAGGCUAACAAAAGCAAAAACUGCUGCUUUCGCUAUCGUCGAAGAACGCUGGAAUUAAGCACUGUGUGAGUUGAAAAGUACUUUUUGUUCCGUUUCAGAUUUCAGUUAUAUUUUUUUGCGUGUUUUCAGCCCAUGCUUCCUGUUGAGCGAAUGUAUGGAACAUUCUGUGCCGUCUUCGCCAUGUUCAUGCGAAUAAAUUGCUUUGAGAAACUCUCAUGUAAGUUUCGUGCAUAGCAAGCCGUUUUGUGUCGUGUAAACGUUGUUUUUUAACCAGUAAUUUAUUGGAAACAGACUUAUUCUUCUUUCAUAUGGAUAUUGUUUUAAAGAUAUUUUUUGACGGUUUAGUCAUGUUUAUGUUCUUUGCUGUAUUAACCACGGUGUAUUUAUACAGAAAAUGGCGGUACCCAGUCACAUCUUCCAAUUCUUUUUUGUCUAAACUGCUUUCUGUGUUCACGUUGAAGAAUUCAUAUAGUUCAUGUAUUUGCUUUAACAAGCACAUACAACAAACUUCUUUAGGUUACUAAUAUAAUCCUCAGGAAUGUUUUGAGUGUUUAGUCAUUAGUUGUUUAGACUGAAGGUUACGUACGUUCAUCUAGUUAUUCAUUCACUUUAUACUGUUUCGCUAUUUUGAAGAAUGUUUACUUU